AAUUNNNNNNNCCUGGUACGAUUCGCCUUGAGUUGAUCAUGGCUCAGAACGAACGCUGGCGGCGUGGAUAAGACAUGCAAGUCGGACGGGAUCACUUUCGCCCGCAAGGGUGGAAGUGAUUCAGUGGCGAACGGGUGCGUAACACGUGGGCAAUCUGUCCUAAAGUGGGGGAUAGCUCGGCGAAAGCCGAAUUAAUACCGCAUGUGAUCAGAGGCGACAUCGUCUCGAAAUCAAAGGUGGCGCAAGCUACCGCUUUUUGAGGAGCCCGCGGCCUAUCAGCUUGUUGGUGAGGUAACGGCUCACCAAAGCGUUGACGGGUAGCUGGUCUGAGAGGACGACCAGCCACACUGGGACUGAGACACGGCCCAGACACCUACGGGUGGCAGCAGUCGAGAAUUUUUCUCAAUGGGGGAAACCCUGAAGGAGCGACGCCGCGUGGAGGAUGAAGGUCUUCGGGUUGUAAACUCCUGUCAUUUGGGAACAAGGCGCGGCUAUUAACUGUAGCCGCGUUGAUAGUACCAGAAGAGGAAGAGACGGCUAACUCUGUGCCAGCAGCCGCGGUAAUACAGAGGUCUCAAGCGUUGUUCGGAUUCAUUGGGCGUAAAGGGUGCGUAGGCGGCGCGGUAAGUCGGGUGUGAAAUUUCGGAGCUUAACUCCGAAACUGCAUUCGAUACUGCCGUGCUUGAGGACUGGAGAGGAGACUGGAAUUUACGGUGUAGCAGUGAAAUGCGUAGAGAUCGUAAGGAAGACANUGGCGAAGCNGGUCCUGGACAUUUCUGACGCUU
RNAcentral lists this ribosomal RNA (785 nucleotides) under uncultured bacterium. RNAcentral describes it as "bacterial SSU rRNA". It matches the Rfam family "Bacterial small subunit ribosomal RNA", at positions 1 to 748 of the family's 1533-position model. The record is from RNAcentral.